RNAcentral lists this ribosomal RNA (468 nucleotides) under uncultured bacterium. RNAcentral's name for it is "partial 16S ribosomal RNA". It matches the Rfam family "Bacterial small subunit ribosomal RNA", at positions 28 to 507 of the family's 1533-position model. The record is from RNAcentral.
GACGAACGCUGGCGGCGUGCUUAACACAUGCAAGUCGAACGGAAAGGCCCUGCUUUUGUGGGGUGCUCGAGUGGCGAACGGGUGAGUAACACGUGAGUAACCUGCCCUUGACUUUGGGAUAACUUCAGGAAACUGGGGCUAAUACCGGAUAGGAGCUCCUGCUGCAUGGUGGGGGUUGGAAAGUUUCGGCGGUUGGGGAUGGACUCGCGGCUGAUCAGCUUGUUGGUGGGGUAGUGGCUUACCAAGGCUUUGACGGGUAGCCGGCCUGAGAGGGUGACCGGCCACAUUGGGACUGAGAUACGGCCCAGACUCCUACGGGAGGCAGCAGUGGGGAAUAUUGCACAAUGGGCGGAAGCCUGAUGCAGCAACGCCGCGUGCGGGAUGACGGCCUUCGGGUUGUAAACCGCUUUCGCCUGUGACGAAGCGUGAGUGACGGUAAUGGGUAAAGAAGCACCGGCUAAGUACGUG